AAUGCACCCCUCUUCCUCCCCGGGGCCUUCCACCUCCGCGAGUUUUAUGACUUAAAAAAGCCCACAGGCUGGUCUGAAGAGGAAGACAAACAUAAAGAUGAAGUGCUUAAUUCAAGGUCACACAAUGUCGGGGAUGGACCUCCAGAUUUCCUUACUGACCUGCAUUAUCUUGUGGAUACCUGAGUGAAUUCCACACCACCCAUUUUAUAGAUGAAACCACUGAGACAUGGAGCAAUUGACUGAGUAGUCACUGCCCCACCCCUGCCUGGAGCCUCACACAUGACUCGCCUCCUCUCAGUGACCACAGGAAAACAAGCUCAGGGCUCCCACUGAUUGUACAUUAUGGUGAGACGUGGUCUUGUAACACAGUGGUUAAGAAUGUGACUUUGGAGCCAGCCUGCUAGGGGCUGAAUUCUGACUCAGCCAUUUACUAACUGUGUGACCUUAGGGAGGAGGACCUGGUUGAUAGAAGAAUUUAUCUCGUAGUCUUAACAUCCACUGUAAUUCCAAACUUUGAGGACGAUAGAGAUCAGUGGGCUUUGACUGCCCAGCAUGCAGUCUCCAUUCUUAGGUCACAGAAUUUUCCACACUCCUUGACAGAGGUGCUUAACCCUUAUCCAUCAGCAUUCUCAGACAGCACCUCCGGUUAGGGACAGUAUCUGACCGUCCGACAUCCCUGCAGCCCCCAUGUGUCACACAGACUCAGCCUCAGGUAGAUGGUUUCCGUAGAUGGUGGCUUUCUU
RNAcentral lists this long non-coding RNA (743 nucleotides) under Homo sapiens (human). Its description in RNAcentral is "PCBP1 antisense RNA 1". Lineage: Eukaryota; Metazoa; Chordata; Mammalia; Primates; Hominidae. The record is from RNAcentral.